UGGGGAAUAUUGGACAAUGGGCGAAAGCCUGAUCCAGCGACGCCGCGUGGGUGAAGAAGGCCUGCGGGUUGUAAAGCCCUUUCGGUGGGGAAGAAAAGCCUCGACCUAACACGUCGGGGUAUUGACGUAACCUACUAAAGAAGCACCGGCUAACUCUGUGCCAGCAGCCGCGGUAAUACAGAGGGUGCGAGCGUUAAUCGGAAUUACUGGGCGUAAAGCGCGCGUAGGCGGUUUUGUAAGUCGGGUGUGAAAUCCCCAAGCUUAACUUGGGAACUGCAUUCGAGACUGCAUAGCUAGAGUAUGGGAGAGGGAAGUGGAAUUUCCGGUGUAGCGGUGAAAUGCGUAGAUAUCGGAAGGAACAUCAGUGGCGAAAGCGACUUCCUGGACCAAUACUGACGCUCAAGUGCGAAAGCGUGGGGAGCAAACAGG
RNAcentral lists this ribosomal RNA (429 nucleotides) under uncultured bacterium. RNAcentral's name for it is "bacterial SSU rRNA". It matches the Rfam family "Bacterial small subunit ribosomal RNA", at positions 355 to 776 of the family's 1533-position model. The record is from RNAcentral.